RNAcentral lists this ribosomal RNA (331 nucleotides) under uncultured eukaryote. RNAcentral's name for it is "partial 18S ribosomal RNA". It matches the Rfam family "Eukaryotic small subunit ribosomal RNA", at positions 1470 to 1796 of the family's 1831-position model. The record is from RNAcentral.
CCCUUAGAUGUUCUGGGCCGCACGCGCGCUACACUGUUCGACGCAGCGAGUCUUAACCUUGACCGAAAGGUUUGGGUAAUCUUCAGCAAAGUCGAACGUGAUGGGGAUCGAUCAUUGCAAUUAUUGAUCGUGAACGAGGAAUUCCUAGUAAGUGCAAGUCAUCAGCUUGCGCUGAUUACGUCCCUGCCCUUUGUACACACCACCCGUCGCUACUACCGAUUGAAUGGUUUAGUGAGAUCUCUGGAUUGACGCUGGCUAGGGGGCGACCCUUGGCCAGACUGUUGAGAAACUGCUCAAACUUGAUCAUUUAGAGGAAGUAAAAGUCGUAACA